AAUCUUGCGCAAUGGGCAAAAGCCUGACGCAGCCAUGCCGCGUGAAUGAUGAAGGUCUUAGGAUUGUAAAAUUCUUUCACCGGGGACGAUAAUGACGGUACCCGGAGAAGAAUCCCCGGCUAACUUAGUUCCAGCAGCCGCGGUAAGACGAAGGGGGCUAGCGUUGCUCGGAAUUACUGGGCGGAAAGGGCGCGUAGGCGGAUCUUCAAGUCAGGGGUGAAAUCCCGGGGCUCAACCUCGGAACUGCCCUUGAUACUGGCGAUCUUGAGUAUGAGAGAGGUAUGUGGAACUCCGAGUGUAGAGGUGAAAUUCGUAGAUAUUCGGAAGAACACCAGUGGCGAAGGCGACAUACUGGCUCAUUACUGACGCUGAGGCGCGAAAGCGUGGGGAGCAAACA
This 397-nucleotide ribosomal RNA is filed under the name uncultured bacterium. RNAcentral's name for it is "partial 16S ribosomal RNA". It matches the Rfam family "Bacterial small subunit ribosomal RNA", at positions 360 to 774 of the family's 1533-position model. The record is from RNAcentral.